This 777-nucleotide ribosomal RNA is filed under the name uncultured bacterium. RNAcentral describes it as "bacterial SSU rRNA". It matches the Rfam family "Bacterial small subunit ribosomal RNA", at positions 728 to 1504 of the family's 1533-position model. The record is from RNAcentral.
GCUGGGCCAUCACUGACGCUCAUGGACGAAAGCCAGGGGAGCGAAAGGGAUUAGAUACCCCUGUAGUCCUGGCCGUAAACGAUGAACACUAGGUGUCGGGGGAAUCGACCCCCUCGGUGUCGUAGCCAACGCGUUAAGUGUUCCGCCUGGGGAGUACGCACGCAAGUGUGAAACUCAAAGGAAUUGACGGGGGCCCGCACAAGCGGUGGAGUAUGUGGUUUAAUUCGAUGCAACGCGAAGAACCUUACCAGGGUUUGACAUUCUGCGAAUCUCUUGGAAACAGGAGAGUGCCUUCGGGAGCGCAGUGACAGGUGGUGCAUGGCUGUCGUCAGCUCGUGUCGUGAGAUGUUGGGUUAAGUCCCGCAACGAGCGCAACCCACGUCUUUAGUUGCCAGCAUUUAGUUGGGCACUCUAGAGAGACUGCCGGUGAUAAACCGGAGGAAGGUGUGGAUGACGUCAAGUCAUCAUGCCCCUUACAUCCUGGGCUACACACGUACUACAAUGCUACGGACAAAGGGCUGCAAGUUCGCGAGGACAAGCAAAUCCCAUAAACCGUGGCUCAGUUCAGAUCGUAGGCUGCAACUCGCCUACGUGAAGGCGGAAUCGCUAGUAAUCGCAGGUCAGCAUACUGCGGUGAAUACGUUCCCGGGCCUUGUACACACCGCCCGUCACACCAUGGAAGUUGGCCACGCCCGAAGCCGUUACUCCAACCCUUGUGGAGGAGGACGUCGAAGGUGGGGCUGAUGACUGGGGUGAAGUCGUAACAAGGUAGCCGUA